UACGGAGGGUGCAAGCGUUAUCCGGAUUUACUGGGUUUAAAGGGUGCGCAGGCGGAUAUGUAAGUCAGUGGUGAAAUCUCUAGGCUUAACCUGGAAAUUGCCAUUGAUACUAUAUGUCUUGAAUGCUGUGGAGGUAAGCGGAAUAUGUCAUGUAGCGGUGAAAUGCUUAGAUAUCGAGAGGAACACCGGUGGCGAAGGCGGCCAACUGGACGAAUACUGACGCUGAGGAGCGAAAGCGUGGGGAGCGAACAGG
This 253-nucleotide ribosomal RNA is filed under the name uncultured bacterium. RNAcentral's name for it is "partial 16S ribosomal RNA". It matches the Rfam family "Bacterial small subunit ribosomal RNA", at positions 524 to 776 of the family's 1533-position model. The record is from RNAcentral.